CGCGGUGCCGCCGGCCGCUGGCCAAGUGCCCGCGCCACCAGGCCUUGGCGCCUUGCCGCUGCGUGCCUCAGUUUCCUCAUCUGAAAUGGAGUGCGGCCCAGCGCGGGGGCCCGCGUGGGCGGGGAGGGCCAGCGGGGCUCUGCGCCCAGGGAGGGCGGCGCCUGGGUUCGCAGAGUGUCCCCUGCCAGCCGCGGCCUGCACGGUCGGAGGGACCCCGCCUGCUCCGAGGAACCGCGGGCCUCAUGCUCCCCUGGAGACCUUUGUCUUUACCGGCCAGCCGACUCGGCAAGGCCUCCACGGCUCCUCCAGCUCUCCGCGCAGGCGAGGCAAGGAGCGUGCCCCUCCGCAGGGCCUCUGCCAGGCGGCCGGGCCCUGACGGCGGUCCGCACUGCGCCCUGAGCGAGUUUUCCUGCAGGGCGUCCGCCUGGGUCCCUAAUGAGGGUGGAGGUUCGGAGGCUCUGGGCCGGCGUCGCGGGCUCUGCUGGGGCUGUGGGGCAGCAGCUAAGAAGCCAGCUAGUCUGCCUGGGGUCAGCGAAACUGUUCGGUGAGCCGCUCACCGCCUGUAUGCCCCAGAAAGCCGGGGACGCCAGAAAAUAGGCGCGCUGUUAGUACUGCCUUUGCUACCCAGUCGGCCCAGAUAAUAGGAGGAAGUUACAGAAGUUAGAAGGAUUUGAGGGGAAAGUGCUGUCAGAGUUGGUGGAAAUUGCCCAGAAAAUUUAAUUUAAUAAUAAUAGAGAGGAUCCUGGAACUGUACAGUCAAAAAAGAUGGCCAAGGUACUGCUAACAGCUACGACCAAACAAGAAUAGAAACGGGAAGAGGCAAACCAAGAAUGGGAGUCGCCCCAAAGAAAGGAAGACAUGGGGCACUCUACCAGGAGCGAGGCCUGCUAACAUCAGGAGGCAAGGAGAUAAACAAUAAACUAGAAAUACUGGCCCUGCUGGAAGCCAUCUGGUUGGCAAAACAUGUGGCCAUUAUUCAUUGCAAAGGGCAUCAGACAGCUGCCUCCCCAGUGGCUCAGGGGAAUGCUUUUGCUGCCGCCACAGCUAAAGAAGUUGCACAGAAACCAGUGAGGCCUGCAUAGAUCCUUCCUCUUUGCCAGAAAGACUUUUACCGAAUUCUUCAAACUAUGCUAAGGAAGAAGCAAAAUUAGGGAAUGCUUUAAAGGGUAGGAUUGACCCAGGAGGCUGGAGAAUUCUUCCCGACAAUAGGAUCUUAGUCCCCGAGCAUUUGCGACAAAAGCUAAUUAGACAAAUACAUCAGAGCACUCAUCUGGGUAGCACUACUACUGGGUAGGACUACUAUACUCCUCGGCUCCACCAGAUGCCUUGCCUAUGCCCAAGUCAAUUCAGGUAAAGGACCUAAUUCUUCUCUUGGGACUAGACUGAGAGGGCUGGUGCCAGGAGAACAAUGGGAAGUGGACUUCAUUGAAGUGAAGCCUGGAAAAUAUGGAUACAAGUACUUACUUGUAUUUGUUGAUACCUUGUCCAGUUGGGCAGAAGCUUUUCCUACAAAAACAGAGACAGCACAGGUAGUUGUAAAGAAACUAGUAACAAAUUAUUCCUAGAUUUGGUCUCCCACUAACCAUGGGGUCUGACAGUGGCCCAGCGUUCAUCGCCAAGACAACUCAAUUGUUGGCCAAGGUGUUGAAGGUUAAUUGGAAACUACACUGUGCUUAUAGGCCUCAAAGUUCAGGACAGGUAGAAAGGAUGAAUAGGACUCUGAAGAAACAUUGAGUAAACUCAAGCUGGAGACUGGCGAAGACUGGUCUUUACAGGCCUUACAAUUGAGCACUGGGCAGAUUCCAGACACCGUAAAGGCUGCCUACCUGGGGCCUGCCAAUCCUCCUCAUAAAAAGACUGUUCCAGAUGCAGCCUGGAGACCUUGUUUGGAUAAAGAAGCUCCAACCAGCGACCUUGGAAGACAAGUGGACUGGACCGCUGCCAGUGACCUUCACCACACCAACUGCCCUGAAGGUUGCAGGAAAACGCCACUGGAUUCAUCAUUCACAGGUUAAAAAAGCGUCUCCAGGACAACUGACUGAAGAAUGGACCGUGGGCCCCACUGGAGAUCCGUUAAAGAUGAGACUUUUAAAGCAUUCUUCUGGAGUGCCCUAGUUAUUUUGGUGGGAGGAAGCCCCUAUCAAUCUGCAAAUUAUACUUGGAUGCUUACACGGACUGUAGAUGGCACUAGAGUAACCCAGAAUUCGUCAUUGUCUUCACCAACACUUUAUUUUGACCUUUGCCACCUUUUAGGGGAAAGGUAUAAUAAACAUAGUCGGGGAGCCCCCUUAUCAGGGUGUCCCUGAGUGGGCUAGGCUGGAGCCUGCAUAUGGGUGCAGAUCCAUUAACAUGGAAAAGGGUCUGCGAGGCUCCCAGUAUUAUGCUUGUCCAGCUACAAGCCCCAUACUGUCAGGCAGAAGGGCAUCAUCAUUGUGCCAAAUGGAAUUGUGUGACUAUUGCCUCUUGGGUAAACAAGGACCCUGAUAUCCUAUUUGUGUGGGGAACUCCUACUUGUAAUUCUCUGGGAACUUGUAACCCCAUAACUAUCACCAUUAAGCAAUGGCACAACCCAGCUUGGGCUUCUGGGAAGACUUGGGGUUUUAGACUAUAUGCUACAACAGAGGGUUAUAGUGGUCCAGGAAUCCACUUCACCAUACAAAGACCCACUCUGGUGAGACAGCGCAAUCCUAUAGGCCUGGAUCGUGAAAUAUAUUUGGACCCAGUACUACCAUCUCCACCAUGCCCCACAGGCCUAAAAGUAAUCCCACCUGUGGGGCUGUCCCCACCUAUACGUGGAUUGCUGCCAGUCCCUCGCAGGCAGCCCUUACUUAAUCUACUAGAUUCUGUCUAUAACUUUAUUAAUCAGACUAGACCUAAUAUGACUAGAGAUUGUUGGCUUUGUUUGAACUCCAAACCCCCUUAUUAUGUAGGCAUUGGGGUCAAGUAGUCCUAUUGGCCCCAAGGAAAAUUAUAUUAGGAACUUGACCACUGAGGACACCUAUAAACGACACAUAAAUGGAGUCAAAAGCCCAAAUUAACUUUAAAAGAUCUGGAAGGCACUUGUAUAUGUCCAGAUUUUACCUUGGCCCAAUCCCCUUACACCAAUUCCUUCAAUUCUAUCAUAUAGGUAGAUAAUCUGACAGACCAAGACUUUAAGUCACUUCUGAUUGCACCAGCUGGUACCUGGUUCGCAGGUACUGCUGGAAUCUCUCCGUGUAUAAGGCCCUCUGUAAUUGUACAGGAAUGAGAUCUUUGUGUUCUUUCACAUAUUGUUCCCCAAAUAUAUUUUUACUCCGGGGAUGGAAGAAGAGACCAUUUACAAGCAUCUGCCCUGUGGCACAUAAAAAGAGCUAUACCCAUUUUAGUGCCUCUACUAAUAGGUUUGGGAAUUGCAGGGUCUGCAGCUGUGGGUACCACAGCCCUCAUUACUGAUAACCAAAAUUUCAGAGUUUUAAGUCAACAAGUUGAUUUAGAUCUUAGUGACUUGGAAAUGUAUGUCAGUCAUUUGGAACAAUUGGUUGACUCUUUGGCUGAGGUGGUUUUAUAAAACCAAAAAGGCCUAGAUAUCCUAUUUCUCAAACAAGGGGGCCUGUGUGUUUAUGCCAGUCAUUCAGGAAUAAUCAGAAACAGUCUCUCUCAAUAGAAUACAGGAAAGAGAAGAACAGCAAACAAAGGUUAAUAAUUGGUAUGAAAACCUCUUUUCCUGGUUCCCGUGGUUAACUGCUCUCUUGUCAGCCGUAAGUCAGACCACUAGUUUUAAUCCUUUUGGCCUUGCUAAUUGGUCCAUGCAUAUUAAAUUGUCUAAUGAUUUAUAUUCAAAAAAGAAUACAAAGUGUCAAGUUGAUGGUGUUUUGCACACAUUAUCACCAUGUUUGUGAUGAUGAAUCAAGGAUUUGAUUCUUAUUAUAAAAAAACAGUGGGGAAUGUAGAAGUAGAAGCUGACCUGGUGUUUCCUGUUAUCCCAGACCCUCAGUAGAAAUUCCUAAGGCUUGCAGAAGAGAAAAACAGAGUAAUAAAUCAGAGCCCUUUCUGUAACCUAGUUAAAAUUUUACUAUGUUUGCUCAAUUUAGAAAAGAAUGUGCUGUAACCUUGGCUGAUGUUGUUUGCUUCUGUAACCCAGCUAGCACAAGAAUUGUGAGUAUUGUUAGUGUUGUUAUCAGGCCAGGGAGUUUGAGGCUGGUCGCGGACCCCCACAGCAUGGAAAACAUGAUGUGAUGUUACAAGAUAAUGUUUCAAUUGCUGUGCCUAAAGUCACAAAGCCCCUAACUUAGAAGGGUAUAAAAACCUCCCUGCUGCUUCUGCUGGGGCCUCUCUCUGUACCUGCCAUCUUGGGGAACAGAGGUGGUCGCUGGCCAGCUAAUGAGGACUCACAGUUCAUUUCAAUUUGGUCUGAAGUGGUCAUUUCUUGCACUCCAUAUCAUAACACCCACUCCUAAGGAUUCAUACAAGAGAAAUAACAACUCUGUUCAUAUAAAACCCUAACGUGAAUGUUCACAGCACUCUUAUUCAUAAAUACCAAAAACUGCAAACAACCCAAAUGGCUUUCAACUGGUAAAGGGAUAAACAAAGUGUGAUACAUCUGUAACGGAAUACUACUCAGCAACAAAAAAGGAAUGAACUACUGAUACAUGCAAUAACAUGACUAAAUCUCAAAUGCAGUUUGCUAGG
Molecule: non-coding RNA, 4668 nt
Organism: Microcebus murinus (gray mouse lemur)
Lineage: Eukaryota; Metazoa; Chordata; Mammalia; Primates; Cheirogaleidae
Source: RefSeq, a predicted model, not a curated record